Molecule: ribosomal RNA, 408 nt
Filed under: uncultured bacterium
Lineage: Bacteria
Description: partial 16S ribosomal RNA
Rfam family: Bacterial small subunit ribosomal RNA
Source: RNAcentral
GACGAACGCUGGCGGCGUGCUUAACACAUGCAAGUCGAACGAAGUGGCGAACGGGUGAGUAACGCGUAAUCAACCUGCCCUUCAGAGGGGGACAACAGUUGGAAACGACUGCUAAUACCUCAUACUGAAGGUGGGGAUUUCGUCUGAUUAGCUAGUUGGAGGGGUAACGGCCCACCAAGGCGAUGAUCAGUAGGCGGUCUGAGAGGAUGAACGGCCAAAUGGGGAAUGAGAAACGGCCUAGAGUCCUACGGGAGGCAGCAGUGGGGAAUCUUCCGCAAUGGACGAAAGUCUUGCGGAGCAACGCCGCGUGAGGGAUGACGGGCUUCGGGUUGUAAAGCUCUGUUAAUCGGGACGCGGUACCGGAAUAGAAAGCCACGGCUAACUACGUGCCAGCAGCCGCGGUAAUUC